GAUGAACGCUGGCGGCGUGCCUAAUACAUGCAAGUCGAGCGAACAGACGAGGAUCUUGCUCCUCUGACGUUAGCGGCGGACGGGUGAGUAACACGUGGAUAACCUACCUAUAAUACUGGGAUAACUUCGGGAAACCGGAUCUAAUACCGGAUAAUAUAUUGAACCGCAUGGUUCAUUGGUGAAAGACGGCUUUUCUGUCACUUAUAGAUGGUUCCCCGCCGGAUUAGCUAGUUGGUACGUUAACGGCUUUCCAAGGCAACGAUGCGUAGCCGACGGGAGAGGGUGAUCGGCCGCACGGGAAGUGGGACACGGUCCAGGCUCCUACGGGAGGCAGCAGUAGGGAAUCGUCCGCAAUGGGCGAAAGCCUGACGGAGCAACGCCGCGUGAGUGAUGAAGGUCUUCGGAUCGUAAAACUCUGUUAUUAGGGAAGAACAAAUGUGGACGUAACUAUGCACGUCUUGACGGUACCGAAUCAGAAAGCCCCGGCUAACUACGUG
This 497-nucleotide ribosomal RNA is filed under the name uncultured bacterium. RNAcentral describes it as "partial 16S ribosomal RNA". It matches the Rfam family "Bacterial small subunit ribosomal RNA", at positions 28 to 507 of the family's 1533-position model. The record is from RNAcentral.